Phyllostomus discolor (pale spear-nosed bat) is the source of this 185-nucleotide long non-coding RNA. RefSeq lists it as uncharacterized. The transcript is spliced from 3 exons. The record is from RefSeq and is a predicted model, not a curated record. NCBI's taxonomy places the organism in Eukaryota, Metazoa, Chordata, Mammalia, Chiroptera, Phyllostomidae.
AGGAAGGGCAAAUCAAGUGCUUCCCACAUAAGGUCAAGUUAAAGGAAUUCAUCAUCACCAAUCACGUAUAUGAAAUGUUCAAGGGAUUUAAUCUAAAAAAAAGAGGAUGAUCAAAAAUAUGAAUAGUGAAAUGUCAGCAAACUCACAGUUAUUAACAACCAUACCUAAAACAAAAGCAAACUAAG